AUCAACAGGCUGCCGGCCACUGAUUGGUCAGAGAAUGUCAUCACUGGACAAGUCAUGAGCCCGCCGUCUGAGAGUCAAACCUGUCAUUUUUAAAUACUUGCAGCGGCGUUACAGCAACCGGACUUUUCUUACAUUUCACAUCGAGUUUUUUUACUCGCACAAAACCACACCGUGGUCUGUGGAUAUGUUGCGGACAUUUCUGUGUUUGGUGGAGGAGGAGAGAAUACAGAGAGGUGGAUGAAGUGAUCCGAAAUGACAAAAUCUCCCAGGUUCUGGCUGCGCAUGUGUACCGGACAUGACAGCAAUGUAGAGAACAGCUGAAAAAGCUUAAAAGUGAUUAGAGGACCACAAUGGCUGGAGUAGGUCAGACUGUAAGGGCUGGAAAAAGUUCGACCACAGGAACGCUGUUUACGGACACCGACCAGCGAGCCCUGGGAGCAGGAUGACCACAACUCGGCCACGGCUUUGUUGGAGGCGACGAUGGAUCCAGUUGCAUAAGUGAGGAGGCCUCGACCACCGGCUUCAACAUCUGUAUCAGCGGCUACCAUCACACGGCAACAUGUUAUCACUGGCAAGAGAAAAAGGAGUAUGUUCCAGCAGGAGAAUCUGUCCAUCCUGAGUGAUGUUGAGGCUGAAGCUUAACUGGGCCCAGUGUGAUCAACACAUCCGACUGAUCCUCGAUGAAGCAAUGGGGGUGGAAGCUGUGUUUAAUCAAGCAUUCCUUGGUGUGCUGGGUGCCCCCACCCCAGGACUAUAUACACAUGUAACAUUUGUAUAAUUUGCUGUGUUGCAUAGAUUUUUUUUUUUUUUGUAUUUGCUCUUCUUUUAGUUGCAGUAAACAGUUUGACUUAAGUGAUUGUAUCAUAAUUUUCUGUAAUUUCAGGCU
This is a long non-coding RNA of Thalassophryne amazonica, 886 nucleotides long. RefSeq lists it as uncharacterized. The transcript has 3 exons. The record is from RefSeq and is a predicted model, not a curated record. NCBI's taxonomy places the organism in Eukaryota, Metazoa, Chordata, Actinopteri, Batrachoidiformes, Batrachoididae.